UUUUUUUAAUAUUUAUACACAACUCUAAAACGAUCUAUAUUAAGGAAGGGAGACUCAUAAUCACGUGUGCCUCCACGUGCAUGCCUGACACGUAAAUCUACUGGAGGAUGCUAAAAUUUGGCAUGACAGUUCUUUGCACAUCCAUGCCACGUGUCCCGCCAAUAGAGGCCUUCAUUACACCAUAUACCUUUGAUUACAUUUUAUAAUGG
This 209-nucleotide long non-coding RNA is filed under the name Panax ginseng (ginseng). Its description in RNAcentral is "long non-coding RNA (PGIN_LNC016792)". The record is from RNAcentral. Lineage: Eukaryota; Viridiplantae; Streptophyta; Magnoliopsida; Apiales; Araliaceae.